This 406-nucleotide ribosomal RNA is filed under the name uncultured bacterium. RNAcentral describes it as "partial 16S ribosomal RNA". It matches the Rfam family "Bacterial small subunit ribosomal RNA", at positions 30 to 526 of the family's 1533-position model. The record is from RNAcentral.
AUUGAACGCUGGCGGCAGGCCUCACACAUGCACGUCGAACGAGUGGCGGACGGGUGAGUAAUGUCUGGGAAACUGCCUGAUGGAGGGGGAUAACUACUGGAAACGGUAGCUUAUACCGCAUACCAUCAGAUGUGCCCAGAUGGGAUUAGAUUGUUGGUGGGUUAACGGCUAACCAAGUCGAAGAUCCAUAUCUGGUCUGAGAGGAUGACCGGACACACUGGAACUGAGACACAGUCCAGACUCCUACGGAAGGCAGCAGUGGGGAAUAUUGCACAAUGGGAGCAGGCCUGAUGCAGCCAUGCCGCGGGUAUGAAGAAGGACUUCGGGUUGUAAAGUACUUUCAGCGGGGAGGCGUUACCCGCAGAAGAAGCACCGGCUAACUCCGUGCCAGCAGCCGCGGUAAUUC